Molecule: non-coding RNA, 237 nt
Organism: Vicia faba (fava bean)
Lineage: Eukaryota; Viridiplantae; Streptophyta; Magnoliopsida; Fabales; Fabaceae
Source: the annotation of a GenBank genome assembly
AUGCAAUGUAACAAGAUUGUAACUGAAAAUAGAACUUCAUCUUCAAUAUUCUUGAAAAGAAAAUGCAGAGCAUUUCAUACUUUAUUAUGCAUCAACAAUGUUGUGGAUGAGAGCUAUAAGCAUGUCAUGUAUGGAAGAAUGGUCAAAUUUCAAAAGGUAUUAAUAUGUGGUGAUUUUUGCUUUUAUAGAUAUAAAUAUGUCAUGGAUGGAGGAAUCAUACUAUUUAGAGGUCAAUGA